This 253-nucleotide ribosomal RNA is filed under the name uncultured bacterium. Its description in RNAcentral is "partial 16S ribosomal RNA". The stretch from base 27 to 253 matches the Rfam family "Bacterial small subunit ribosomal RNA", at positions 550 to 776 of the family's 1533-position model. The record is from RNAcentral.
UACCAGCACCCCGAGUGGUCGGGACGUUUAUUGGGCGUAAAGCGCGCGCAGGCGGUGCGGUAAGUCUAUGGUGAAAGCGCUCGGCUUAACUGGGCGAGGGCCGUGGAGACUGCCGGACUGGAGGGGAGCAGAGGCGAGUGGAAUUCCGGGUGUAGUGGUGAAAUGCGUAGAGAUCCGGAGGAACACCAGUGGCGAAGGCGGCUCGCUGGGCUCAACCUGACGCUGAGGCGCGAAAGCGUGGGGAGCGAACCGG